GAGUAAUGUCUGGGAAACUGCCUGAUGGAGGGGGAUAACUACUGGAAACGGUGGCUAAUACCGCAUAACGUCGCAAGACCAAAGAGGGGGACCUUCGGGCCUCUUGCCAUCAGAUGUGCCCAGAUGGGAUUAGCUUGUUGGUGAGGUAACGGCUCACCAAGGCGACGAUCCCUAGCUGGUCUGAGAGGAUGACCAGCCACACUGGAACUGAGACACGGUCCAGACUCCUACGGGAGGCAGCAGUGGGGAAUAUUGCACAAUGGGCGCAAGCCUGAUGCAGCCAUGCCGCGUGUAUGAAGAAGGCCUUAGGGUUGUAAAGUACUUUCAGCGGGGAGGAAGGUGUUGCGGUUAAUAACCGCAGCAAUUGACGUUACCCGCAGAAGAAGCACCGGCUAACUCCGUGCCAGCAGCCGCGGUAAUACGGAGGGUGCAAGCGUUAAUCGGAAUUACUGGGCGUAAAGCGCACGCAGGCGGUCUGUCAAGUCGGAUGUGAAAUCCCCGGGCUCAACCUGGGAACUGCAUUCGAAACUGGCAGGCUUGAGUCUUGUAGAGGGGGGUAGAAUUCCAGGUGUAGCGGUGAAAUGCGUAGAGAUCUGGAGGAAUACCGGUGGCGAAGGCGGCCCCCUGGACAAAGACUGACGCUCAGGUGCGAAAGCGUGGGGAGCAAACAGGAUUAGAUACCCUGGUAGUCCACGCCGUAAACGAUGUCUACUUGGAGGUUGUGCCCUUGAGGCGUGGCUUCCGGAGCUAACGCGUUAAGUAGACCGCCUGGGGAGUACGGCCGCAAGGUUAAAACUCAAAUGAAUUGACGGGGGCCCGCACAAGCGGUGGAGCAUGUGGUUUAAUUCGAUGCAACGCGAAGAACCUUACCUGGUCUUGACAUCCACAGAACUUUCCAGAGAUGGAUUGGUGCCUUCGGGAACUGUGAGACAGGUGCUGCAUGGCUGUCGUCAGCUCGUGUUGUGAAAUGUUGGGUUAAGUCCCGCAACGAGCGCAACCCUUAUCCUUUGUUGCCAGCGGUUAGGCCGGGAACUCAAAGGAGACUGCCAGUGAUAAACUGGAGGAAGGUGGGGAUGACGUCAAGUCAUCAUGGCCCUUACGACCAGGGCUACACACGUGCUACAAUGGCGCAUACAAAGAGAAGCGACCUCGCGAGAGCAAGCGGACCUCAUAAAGUGCGUCGUAGUCCGGAUUGGAGUCUGCAACUCGACUCCAUGAAGUCGGAAUCGCUAGUAAUCGUGGAUCAGAAUGCCACGGUGAAUACGUUCCCGGGCCUUGUACACACCGCCCGUCACACCAUGGGAGUGGGUUGCAAAAGAAGUAGGUAGCUUAACCUUCGGGAGGGCGCUUACCACUUUGUGAUUCAUGACUGGGGUGAAGUCGUAACAAGGUAACCGUAGGGGAACCUGCGGUUGGAUCACCUCCUUACCUUAAAGAA
This 1438-nucleotide ribosomal RNA is filed under the name Salmonella enterica subsp. enterica serovar Bareilly. RNAcentral describes it as "partial 16S ribosomal RNA". It matches the Rfam family "Bacterial small subunit ribosomal RNA". Lineage: Bacteria; Pseudomonadati; Pseudomonadota; Gammaproteobacteria; Enterobacterales; Enterobacteriaceae. The record is from RNAcentral. RNAcentral also lists the same sequence under 1 other name.